CCCUUAGAUGUCCUGGGCGGCCCGCGCGCUACAAUGUCAGCUACUGAAGGUUAAUGCUUUGAAAGAGAGCGCGCUCUCCUUUUAAUUGCUCGCAUGCUGGGAUAAAUGAAUGCAAUUUUGUUUUGAACGAGGAAUUCCUAGUAGCCAUGCUUCACUAGAAGAUGGCGAAUGCGUCCCUGCCCUUUGUACACACCGCCCGUCGCUCCUACCGAUGAGCGUUUUGGCGAAGACGGUUUGAGUAGCUGCGUAAUUUCGUGUUGUUGACUCCGGCAGUUUGAGCCUUCACGUUUAGAGGAAGGAGAAGUCGUAACA
Molecule: ribosomal RNA, 312 nt
Filed under: uncultured eukaryote
Lineage: Eukaryota
Description: partial 18S ribosomal RNA
Rfam family: Eukaryotic small subunit ribosomal RNA
Source: RNAcentral